Molecule: ribosomal RNA, 504 nt
Filed under: uncultured bacterium
Lineage: Bacteria
Description: partial 16S ribosomal RNA
Rfam family: Bacterial small subunit ribosomal RNA
Source: RNAcentral
AUUGAACGCUGGCGGCAUGCCUUACACAUGCAAGUCGAACGGCAGCAUGGAGAGCUUGCUCUCUGAUGGCGAGUGGCGAACGGGUGAGUAAUGCAUCGGAACGUACCGUGUAAUGGGGGAUAACGUAGCGAAAGUUACGCUAAUACCGCAUACGACCUGAGGGUGAAAGCAGGGGAUCGCAAGACCUUGCGUUAUACGAGCGGCCGAUGUCAGAUUAGCUAGUUGGUGAGGUAAAGGCUCACCAAGGCGACGAUCUGUAGCGGGUCUGAGAGGAUGAUCCGCCACACUGGGACUGAGAUACGGCCCAGACGCCUACGGGAGGCAGCAGUGGGGAAUUUUGGACAAUGGGGGCAACCCUGAUCCAGCCAUGCCGCGUGAGUGAAGAAGGCCUUCGGGUUGUAAAGCUCUUUCGGCCGGGAAGAAAUCGCACAGGCUAAUACUCUGUGUGGAUGACGGUACCGGCAUAAGAAGCACCGGCUAACUACGUGCCAGCAGCCGCAGUAA